RNAcentral lists this ribosomal RNA (497 nucleotides) under uncultured bacterium. RNAcentral describes it as "partial 16S ribosomal RNA". It matches the Rfam family "Bacterial small subunit ribosomal RNA", at positions 28 to 507 of the family's 1533-position model. The record is from RNAcentral.
GAUGAACGCUGGCGGCGUGCCUAAUACAUGCAAGUCGAGCGAACGGACGAGAAGCUUGCUUCUCUGAUGUUAGCGGCGGACGGGUGAGUAACACGUGGAUAACCUACCUAUAAGACUGGGAUAACUUCGGGAAACCGUAGCUAAUACCGGAUAAUAUUUUGAACCGCAUGGUUCAAAAGUGAAAGACGGUCUUGCUGUCACUUAUAGAUGGAUCCGCGGUGCAUUAGCUAGUUGGUAAGGUAACGGCUUACCAAGGCAACGAUGCAUAGCCGACCUGAGAGGGUGAUCGGCCACACUGGAACUGAGAAACGGUCCAGACUCCUACGGGAGGCAGCAGUAGGGAAUCUUCCGCAAUGGGCGAAAGCCUGACGGAGCAACGCCGCGUGAGUGAUGAAGGUCUUCGGAUCGUAAAACUCUGUUAUUAGGGAAGAACAUAUGUGUAAGUAACUGUGCACAGCUUGACGGUACCUAAUCAGAAAGCCACGGCUAACUACGUG